This is an RNA transcript of Larimichthys crocea (large yellow croaker), 890 nucleotides long. RefSeq lists it as uncharacterized. The record is from RefSeq and is a predicted model, not a curated record. The transcript is spliced from 4 exons. NCBI's taxonomy places the organism in Eukaryota, Metazoa, Chordata, Actinopteri, Sciaenidae.
GCUGACCACUUCUCACUGAGCUGUUCAACCACAGAGGUUCUGGGACUCUCUUUAAAAAACUGAGAUCACAUACACCUGCACCUCGCUCACCUGCCUCUCAGCACUUUUCCAUUCACUCUUCACUCACCUGCCAGCCGCACCCCCCUCAUCAGACCAACUCCCCUCACCUGCUUGACUCACCUGGUUCCCAUCACCAAUCAAGCCAGUACUACUGGUGGCUCGGUUCUGGUUAGUCUGCUUCAUCGCCUGUUUACCUGCUUGCGGGACUGGUUUCCCCAGCCAGAGCCCCCGGACUUGCCCCGUGCCCAGAGAGACUAUUUCAAGUGUUGCUUUGAACUGUGCUACUUCUCGUCUACCAGCCAAGUGUAAUAAAAGUGACUCAUUUAUUACCUUUGUCCAGUGUGCUGCAUUUGGUUUCUUACUACACCCGUUACAAUAGAUAGAUAAAGAUAAAAAAUAACCUUUACCUGUCCCUGGGCUUGGGGCUUUGUACUUUGUAGUUCUGACUUUUCAUGCUUUUCUCGGCAUUCGGCCAAUAUACACAGAAAGCUGCAACACUUCUGAGUGUUCCUGGGAAUGGUUUUGGUUUACCGGAACAAAGAAAUGUCGACAUGCCCAGUUUAGUUUAGGGCAUGGCAGGUUAAUAUAAAGGCAGACAAUCUAAAGUGAUAAAAUAGUUCCUUAAAAAAAACAAGGGCUUGAAGGACCACUGGUAAAAUCCAUCAUAAGACAUCAAACAUUAUGGAGGGGAAUGCAGCUGCUCCUAAGAAAGCCAUCCACCAGUCCCAGUCUCUGUGCGCUGGUGAAAAGGAGUAUGUUCAGAAGAGGAAACAAAAAGUUAUGAAGAGACUCAACAGCCUGGGGGUCGACUGUACCGCAGUAAGAAAGAA